This 309-nucleotide unclassified non-coding RNA is filed under the name fungal sp. Its description in RNAcentral is "partial internal transcribed spacer region". The stretch from base 1 to 46 matches the Rfam family "Eukaryotic small subunit ribosomal RNA", at positions 1786 to 1831 of the family's 1831-position model. The record is from RNAcentral. Lineage: Eukaryota; Fungi.
AAGUCGUAACAAGGUCUCCGUAGGUGAACCUGCGGAGGGAUCAUUAACACGUGUAAAAACGUAUUAUUUGCUAUCUAUAUCUUUACCCAUACCGUGAACUAUGUGCCAUAUAUUGAUUUUUUUUAUAUGACUUUUUGUAUUUUCUAUGUUAUAUUUCAUUAUAUAGCAUAGAGAAUGGGAAAGUUUGCAAACCCUUUUCCAAAACCUUUAUUUUUUUUAUUUUUUUGUUCUCUUUUGUAAUGAAAGGAAUGAAAGUAAUAUAAUAAAAAAUGACUAGCACAACUCUUAGCAACGGAUAUCUUGGUUCUC